Long non-coding RNA from Gasterosteus aculeatus aculeatus (three-spined stickleback), 1350 nucleotides. NCBI's taxonomy places the organism in Eukaryota, Metazoa, Chordata, Actinopteri, Perciformes, Gasterosteidae. The record is from Ensembl.
CAGCUUUUUGCCGCACGGGUUCUGGGCUUUUCUACUUUUACGCAAUCCACACCGAAAGCGCCAGGUGCGUAGCAGACGCGCGCGCGCACACACACACACACACACACACACACACACACACACACACACACACACACACACACACAAUCCGCGGCCAGAUGACGUUACCAUUUGUUCGCGGAAGUGGCUUCUGUCGUGACCGCUGAGUGGAGAGAGAGAGGGGGGAGAACCAGGGGGAGGAGAAAGGGAAGGAAGGAAGAGAGAGGGAGAGAGAGAGGUAGAGAGAGAGAAAGUUAAAAAAGAAGUUUUCAGAACUAUAAUUUCCUGUGAAAGUUCAUUCCAAAAAAAAACUGCGAAGGCGCUCGGCCGACCGAAGCCAUCGAGCCGUUUGCCCCCGGUAGGUGACACCAAGCCGAAGGGGUUUGAAGCAGCGACAGCCCGCUGGGCAGGAGGGGCAACUCGAGGGGGGAAAGGGAGGAAGAAAGCUGGGGGCCACAACGAGCCUCUAGCCAUCACUCCCCCCCCAAAGUCCGCGGGGCCCACUGCCAGGGCUCACCAUUAAUACAUUAGACAGAGGGAGUCUAAAACAGGGCAGCCUGGAGAACGGGCGGGCAGACGAGGGAGGGGGCGAGGGGGAGAUCAUCUGGAAGAGGAGAGAGGAAGUGGUGGCGAGGGAAAGGGCGGAGGCGUCGGAGAGGCAGAGACUGGCAGAGCACAUCGUGUGGAGGAAGAGGGAGGGCUUCCAGGAGAAGACGGGAGACCGAGAGAAGGGAGGAAAGGGCGCCGACAAAGUGCCAGAAGUGAUCUGGAAGAGGAGGGAAGACGAGGAGGAGGUGGGAGACGCGGGGAGGGCGAGAGCCAUUCAGAGGGGACACGAAAUCAUUUGGAGGAAGAGAGAGAGGGAGUGAAAGAUUUGAGUGAGCAUGUGUUAAAGAAAGAAAGCGUGCCGCGCUGGGCACAGGCUUCUCUCUUCUGUAGCCUGGGCUCCAUUGGGCUCUGUAGUAUCGACCAAUUGGAGCCGUGCACAGAUUGUGUGUGUGUGCGUGCGCGUGUGUGUGUGUGUGUGUGUUUGCCUGUGCGGCCGCGGUGUUCGUGCGUGCAGCGCCCUUGCGAUCCCCUCGUCGGGCCGCUAAUAGCAUAUUUAUGGGAACGCAUAAAGCGUGAUAGAGCUGCCAAGUGGAGCUGCUUCACACGUGCACGCACCUGCGCACGCCAAUACACACACACACACCCACACACGGCGAUAAUCUCAGUAGCGGUGUGGCGAGGGAAGAUUUAGGCUGCCCUCACACGCGUGUGGACACGUCCCGUAGAGGAGUGCACCCUUCAGUGAAGUGAGACGCAUGCUGG